RNAcentral lists this small RNA (411 nucleotides) under Drosophila mojavensis. Its description in RNAcentral is "GI27060". Lineage: Eukaryota; Metazoa; Arthropoda; Insecta; Diptera; Drosophilidae. The record is from RNAcentral.
UAUAGCUAUACAAAAAAAGAUCUGACAAUAUAUUUUUCGGGGAAUCAUUAAGAUUUGCAUAGUCGUUAUUAGAGAUUAAAUAACAUUAUUAUAAGCGACACACAAAAAAUAAGAUGUUGAUAAGUCUGAGGAUCUGGCUCUGGCUAUAUAUAGACGUUGUGAUUUUGAUUGGCUAUGCCAGCCAAGCAGAAAGACAGGUCAGACACGAGCACACCCUUCUGUAAUUCAAAAUCAGUAUACCCUCUAUGCACACUUUCGAUGGGCAUUAAAACCGGCAGCAUUAACAACAAAAACCACCGUGAUUCAAGGGAAAAACACCGUCAGAAUUGAGUUCAGAACUAGUGCGAAGUAUAAAUUUGAGUUUACUUUCGACCCAAAACAGGCUACAUUUGCCUUUAGUUGACUUUACCG